This 91-nucleotide transfer RNA is filed under the name Mollicutes bacterium. RNAcentral's name for it is "tRNA-Ser". It matches the Rfam family "tRNA". From Rfam's summary of the family: Transfer RNA (tRNA) molecules are approximately 80 nucleotides in length. Their secondary structure includes four short double-helical elements and three loops (D, anti-codon, and T loops). Further hydrogen bonds mediate the characteristic L-shaped molecular structure. tRNAs have two regions of fundamental functional importance: the anti-codon, which is responsible for specific mRNA codon recognition, and the 3' end, to which the tRNAs corresponding amino acid is attached (by aminoacyl-tRNA synthetases). tRNAs cope with the degeneracy of the genetic code in two manners: having more than one tRNA (with a specific anti-codon) for a particular amino acid; and 'wobble' base-pairing, i.e. permitting non-standard base-pairing at the 3rd anti-codon position. The record is from RNAcentral. Lineage: Bacteria; Bacillati; Mycoplasmatota; Mollicutes.
GGAGACAUACCCAAGUCUGGUUGAAGGGAAUUGUCUGGAAGGCAGUCAGACGCGCAAGCGUGCGGGGGUUCGAAUCCCUCUGUCUCCGCCA